GAAUUCGCCCUUAGAGUUUGAUCCUGGCUCAGAUUGAACGCUGGCGGCAUGCCUUACACAUGCAAGUCGAACGGCAGCGCGGGGCAACCUGGCGGCGAGUGGCGAACGGGUGAGUAAUAUAUCGGAACGUACCCUGGAGUGGGGGAUAACGUAGCGAAAGUUACGCUAAUACCGCAUACGAUCUAAGGAUGAAAGUGGGGGCUCGCAAGACCUCAUGCUCCUGGAGCGGCCGAUAUCUGAUUAGCUAGUUGGUGGGGUAAAGGCCUACCAAGGCAUCGAUCAGUAGCUGGUCUGAGAGGACGACCAGCCACACUGGAACUGAGACACGGUCCAGACUCCUACGGGAGGCAGCAGUGGGGAAUUUUGGACAAUGGGCGCAAGCCUGAUCCAGCAAUGCCGCGUGAGUGAAGAAGGCCUUCGGGUUGUAAAGCUCUUUUGUCAGGGAAGAAACGGUGGGGGCUAAUAUCUCUUGCUAAUGACGGUACCUGAAGAAUAAGCACCGGCUAACUACGUGCCAGCAGCCGCGGUAAUACGUAGGGUGCAAGCGUUAAUCGGAAUUACUGGGCGUAAAGCGUGCGCAGGCGGUUUUGUAAGUUUGUCGUGAAAUCCCCGGGCUCAACCUGGGAAUGGCGAUGAAGACUGCAAGGCUAGAAUCUGGCAGAGGGGGGUAGAAUUCCACGUGUAGCAGUGAAAUGCGUAGAGAUGUGGAGGAACACCGAUGGCGAAGGCAGCCCCCUGGGUCAAGAUUGACGCUCAUGCACGAAAGCGUGGGGAGCAAACAGGAUUAGAUACCCUGGUAGUCCACGCCCUAAACGAUGUCUACUAGUUGUCGGGUUUUAAUUAACUUGGUAACGCAGCUAACGCGUGAAGUAGACCGCCUGGGGAGUACGGUCGCAAGAUUAAAACUCAAAGGAAUUGACGGGGGCAAGGGCGAAUUC
This 938-nucleotide ribosomal RNA is filed under the name uncultured bacterium. RNAcentral's name for it is "bacterial SSU rRNA". It matches the Rfam family "Bacterial small subunit ribosomal RNA", at positions 1 to 932 of the family's 1533-position model. The record is from RNAcentral.